This 1452-nucleotide long non-coding RNA is filed under the name Nicotiana tabacum (common tobacco). RNAcentral describes it as "long non-coding RNA (NTAB_LNC005799)". The record is from RNAcentral. Lineage: Eukaryota; Viridiplantae; Streptophyta; Magnoliopsida; Solanales; Solanaceae.
AUAAAUUGAAUAACUAAAAUUGAAUUAAACCAAUAAUCUGACAACUAAGUUAUGUGAUUUUAAUGUAGCUGAAUUGUGAACCAUAACCCAUCAAACAAUCAUGAGCCUCUAAAGAUUAAAUUGGAAUACAUAAACUUUGGGGCAUUCCCCGAGAAUAAAUAAUAUGCCAUGGAAAAUAACAUAAGCUGAAGAUAUUCGGCUACUGCUAGGAAACAUCAACUGAGCUCACCAAGUGAGUAUGCAGAGUUUGUAUCUAGCCACGUGUCUCUUCACCUACAAUCUCAACACCUGUCACACGACGUGAUAUGCCCAAACAAGCUAAGUACCACUAAAGGAUAGUAGGAUAUCCAAUAAAUCUCAAAAGCUACCUCCUAAAAAGGCGGAGCGAGACCUUCCGGAAAAGAUCAUAAUAUGAAAAGAAGUAGGUUCACAGGAUAUUACGCAAAAAGAAAAAUAAUUAAAUCUAUAAACAAGUAAUGAGCUGAAAACUAAAACUACAAGCUGUACUAUAAAACUGACAAUUGAACCUGGUAAUUGAAAAUGAAGCUAAAAACUGAGUUAUUUUUAAAGAGAUAACUUUUCAAAAUAAUUACACAUAGUGUCCCUGUAUACGUGAGAUAUGGCAACACGCAUGGGGGAGUGUCGGCCUAUCUCCCCAACAAACAAUAGCCCCUACGAGCAUGGGGUAGCUAUACCUAGCCCUAGUGGCACUCACGCAAGGGGAGGUCGGCUAGCUCUCCCUUUUGAAUGUGAUCACAUUAAUACAUGAAUGAAUGCUGAAACUGAAUACUGAAUUGAAUGUAAAUAUCACAAACAACGACACAUAACAAGUGAUAAUACACGUAAUCAUGUAAUUCUGUCAUAUGUAAAGUGGUACUAAGUAAGAACAAAAUAAAUUGAGUAAAAAAGUACAAGAAGACAAUGCUUUAAGAAUUUCAUCGAAUACAUGGAACACAUGGGUUCUAAUAGAAUUUCUUAUUAGGAGAGUAAGCCUUAAAACUUACCUCAAAUUUACGCGCAUAUUCGCAUGUUCAACUUCUACGAGUGUCCAGGGAGAUCUAUAAAUAUUAGGGCCAAAUAAAUCAAAAUACAGUCAACUAGUUUAAUUUAUCAAAAUUGAGUUAUUACCCUCAGACAUGAAUUACCCAAUUCUCAACUGGGCGAAUUCUCAUCUUCGGGUUUGAUUUUAAUGUGUGUAACUUAUCUUUCUUAACCAUGUCAUAUCUCAGAGGGUAGUAAUCAUAAAGUAUGAUCAGUUAAUACCUUGUACGCGACAGCGCUGAAAAUACCAGUGUAUGAGUUUCUUGAUUUUUGUUCUUUCUGAGAAAAACAAAUCCAUGCGCUUUCUAUCUCUUAUUCAAUUUUCUAAACCCCUCUAGCAUUGAUGAACCAGUUGGCAGAAAACUUACGUAGCCUCUCUGUAGCAUUUUUCCUUUGGAAGCAAUUAUUCCC